UUCGCAAUGCCCGAAAGGGUGACGAACCGACGCCGCGUGGGUGAGGAAGGCCCUCGGGUUGUAAAGCCCUGUCAGGAGUUAAGAAAUGUAGGCACGCUAAUACCGUGUUUAUUUGACAAAGGCUCCAAAGGAAGCCACGGCUAACUCUGUGCCAGCAGCCGCGGUAAUACAGAGGUGGCAAGCGUUGUUCGGAAUUAUUGGGCGUAAAGAGCACGUAGGUGGAUUUGUAAGUCAGAUGUGAAAGCCUUCUGUUCAACGGAAGAAUUGCAUCUGAAACUACAGACCUUGAGUAUAGGAGGGGAGA
Molecule: ribosomal RNA, 304 nt
Filed under: uncultured Candidatus Scalindua sp.
Lineage: Bacteria; Pseudomonadati; Planctomycetota; Candidatus Brocadiia; Candidatus Brocadiales; Candidatus Scalinduaceae
Description: bacterial SSU rRNA
Rfam family: Bacterial small subunit ribosomal RNA
Source: RNAcentral